AUGGUUUGGACAUACAUAUAAUGCUCACGGGAAGGCCGAAGAGGGCUAUUGGCAAGAACACCACCCCUAAACAAAAGGUGCAUCCGGAUUCAGAGGAAGCAAAGAAGAAAACUUGACCUGCGGAAGCAAGAUGCGGGAAGGAGAGAGCGCAGUGGCGAAGCUUCAACGAAAACUUAGUGGGGGUGAAGUCUCAAAAUCUAAAUCGGUGGGGUCUAGACUCUUAAAAAUCCAAUAUUUCACACUAAAAAAAGAAUUCAGAAAUUUUCCAUAAAAUUUACACCACGAGCCAACAAGCGGUGGGGACCGGAGCACCCGCCGGCCUCAAUAAAGCUUCACCAAUGGGAGAGCGGAAACACCGGCCCGGCUGGUUCACGACCUGAUGUGGGAAGUGGGGACGCGGGAUGCAUCCCGUGUGGCCAUACUUGUCACUUGCAAAUGAUAGAUAUGUCAUAAGUUUGACGUUUUCAAUAAAUAUUUGAUUAGUUGUUAUAUUUCUAUGGUUUAUAAAUAUUUGAUUAGUUGUUAUAUUUUUAUGGUUUAAGUUUGUAGCACACUUAAAUAUUGGAAUCAUUUAUUAGCUUCAGUAAUUAUAUUUAGUAUAUAAACUUUGUCAUAAGU
Molecule: long non-coding RNA, 618 nt
Filed under: Helianthus annuus (common sunflower)
Lineage: Eukaryota; Viridiplantae; Streptophyta; Magnoliopsida; Asterales; Asteraceae
Description: hypothetical non coding rna
Source: RNAcentral